Long non-coding RNA from Cornus florida, 1108 nucleotides. RefSeq lists it as uncharacterized. The record is from RefSeq and is a predicted model, not a curated record. The transcript has 2 exons. NCBI's taxonomy places the organism in Eukaryota, Viridiplantae, Streptophyta, Magnoliopsida, Cornales, Cornaceae.
AAAAGAUUACUUUCUAUCACGAUUUUACUUGAAUCGUGGUACAAAGUGAAAAACUUUCCCCCUCCAUAGGCGGGAAUUAUUCCCGCUAAUUGUGGAAAAUAAAAAAGAAAUCCUCAGUACAAAAAACGCAUAGAAAGUGAAAAUUUUCCUUGCCUCCACAGGCGGGAAUUAUUCCCACUAAUUGUGGAAAAUAAAAAAGAAAUCUUUAGUAAAAAAAACGCAUAGAAAGCUAAAAUUUUCCCCACCUCCACAGGCGGGAAUUAUUCCCUCCAAUAAUUGACACAUCACACAUGUUCUUACACACUAAAUAUUUUUAUCUAAAAAAAAAUAAAAAAUAAACUAUUAUAUACACACACCCACACAGAAGAAGCAUUUCUACAAAACAUUUACUGUCGAUAUAUACACAGCUCAGACGAUGUUCCCCUUUUCGAUCAAAACAGGCGACGAUUGAGACUCUUGCGGGGAUAUCUUUGACAACUGGGGUCGGUCUUUCCAUGACUAGUACACGCGAACAUGCCGCAUUCUUUCUUUCUCCAAAAUGAACCAAGCCCUAACCCUCUUUCUAUCGAAUCCCUUUUAUCUAUGAUUUGAAGUAGUCUGGUGUCGUGGAAGCAAUCUUUGUGUAACAGAGAUCAUUUUUAUCCAAGUCCUAACCCUCCCUCUCUCAUUCGAAGCCCCUAUUAUCCAAGCCCUAACCCCAUUCCUCCCAUUCAAAGGAAACUUUGGCAUCAAACCCCUGAUCUUGCAAAUCGGUCUUUCCGCCGUCUCUCAUGGAUCAAUUAAGUCUUGUUGCGGUUGCAUCCCAUAAGAGAUUUCCUUUCAAAGAUGACUCUGCUCGAUCUCCCUCGCCUAAAAAGGUCGGCACACCAAUGUUUACAGCAUUUUUGAGAUUUCCAUUUCCACCGCAGGGGAAGCCCUAAUUUGUGUUUGCAUUGAUUAAUUUUGAAGAUUUGGAGUAAACCCCUAACGAGGUACGAAGCCUUGGUUCGUGAUGCCUAGCAUUCCUUGAAUGUCGUGUAGCUUUCAAGUUUCCAUUUCAUGCAAAUGUUAGCAUGAAAUGUCAUUUUGUAGACUUAUAUGUCAAAAUAUGUAUAUUUGAUUCCAUGUA